AAGCUUGAAAUUCAAACAAUCUAUCAAAUGUUUAUAUCGUUAUACAUCAGUUUACAGGCUAGCUUCCUGGUACGUAUGAAUGACAAGACUCAAAUUGGACAUAGAAGACGGUUUCCAUGUUCUAAGGUAUGA
Solanum tuberosum (potato) is the source of this 132-nucleotide long non-coding RNA. RefSeq lists it as uncharacterized. The record is from RefSeq and is a predicted model, not a curated record. Lineage: Eukaryota; Viridiplantae; Streptophyta; Magnoliopsida; Solanales; Solanaceae. The transcript is spliced from 2 exons.